Molecule: ribosomal RNA, 492 nt
Filed under: uncultured bacterium
Lineage: Bacteria
Description: partial 16S ribosomal RNA
Rfam family: Bacterial small subunit ribosomal RNA
Source: RNAcentral
AGUGAACGCUGGCGGUAGGCCUAACACAUGCAAGUCGAACGGCAGCACAGUAAGAGCUUGCUCUUACGGGUGGCGAGUGGCGGACGGGUGAGGAAUACAUCGGAAUCUACUUUUUCGUGGGGGAUAACGUAGGGAAACUUACGCUAAUACCGCAUACGACCUACGGGUGAAAGCAGGGGAUCUUCGGACCUUGCGCGAUUGAAUGAGCCGAUGUCGGAUUAGCUAGUUGGCGGGGUAAAGGCCCACCAAGGCGACGAUCCGUAGCUGGUCUGAGAGGAUGAUCAGCCACACUGGAACUGAGACACGGUCCAGACUCCUACGGGAGGCAGCAGUGGGGAAUAUUGGACAAUGGGCGCAAGCCUGAUCCAGCCAUACCGCGUGGGUGAAGAAGGCCUUCGGGUUGUAAAGCCCUUUUGUUGGGAAAGAAAAGCAGCAGGUUAAUACCCCGCUGUUCUGGCGGUACCCAAGGAAUAAGCACCGGCUAACUUCGUG